GUGCUCGCUUUGACAGCAUAUAGCUAAAAUUGGAACAGUAUAGAGUAGAUUACAAUGGCCCGUAUGCAAAAAUGACAUUCACUUUCAUGAAAUCUUCUAUUAAAAA
This 106-nucleotide small nuclear RNA is filed under the name Notamacropus eugenii (tammar wallaby). Lineage: Eukaryota; Metazoa; Chordata; Mammalia; Diprotodontia; Macropodidae. The record is from RNAcentral.